Molecule: ribosomal RNA, 817 nt
Filed under: Arthrobacter globiformis
Lineage: Bacteria; Bacillati; Actinomycetota; Actinomycetes; Micrococcales; Micrococcaceae
Description: bacterial SSU rRNA
Rfam family: Bacterial small subunit ribosomal RNA
Source: RNAcentral
GAUCCGGUGCUUGCACCGGGGAUUAGKGGCGAACGGGUGAGUAACACGUGAGUAACCUGCCCUUGACUCUGGGAUAAGCCUGGGAAACUGGGUCUAAUACCGGAUAUGACUCCUCAUCGCAUGGUGGGGGGUGGAAAGCUUUUGCGGUUUUGGAUGGACUCGCGGCCUAUCAGCUUGUUGGUGAGGUAAUGGCUCACCAAGGCGACRACGGGUAGCCGGCCUGAGAGGGUGACCGGCCACACUGGGACUGARACACGGCCCAGACUCCUACGGGAGGCAGCAGUGGGGAAUAUUGCACAAUGGGCGAAAGCCUGAUGCAGCGACGCCGCGUGAGGRAUGACGGCCUUCGGGUUGUAAACCUCUUUCAGUAGGGAAGAAGCGAAAGUGACGGUACCUGCAGAAGAAGCGCCGGCUAACUACGUGCCAGCAGCCGCGGUAAUACGUAGGGCGCAAGCGUUAUCCGGAAUUAUUGGGCGUAAAGAGCUCGUAGGCGGUUUGUCGCGUCUGCCGUGAAAGUCCGGGGCUCAACUCCGGAUCUGCGGUGGGUACGGGCAGACUAGAGUGAUGUAGGGGAGACUGGAAUUCCUGGUGUAGCGGUGAAAUGCGCAGAUAUCAGGAGGAACACCGAUGGCGAAGGCAGGUCUCUGGGCAUUAACUGACGCUGAGGAGCGAAAGCAUGGGGAGCGAACAGGAUUAGAUACCCUGGUAGUCCAUGCCGUAAACGUUGGGCACUAGUGUGGGGACAUUCCACGUUUUCCGCGCCGUAGCUAACGCAUUAAGUGCCCCGCCUGGGGAGUACGGCCGCAGCUAAACUCAA